Molecule: non-coding RNA, 968 nt
Organism: Solanum lycopersicum (tomato)
Lineage: Eukaryota; Viridiplantae; Streptophyta; Magnoliopsida; Solanales; Solanaceae
Source: RefSeq, a predicted model, not a curated record
AACUACAUCUUUCCUUCGCCGCCGGUAACCAUGCAAGCUAUCCAAUCUUCAUCUCUCCGGCCAUCUCCGGUCGACCCAUUUCUCAAAACCAUACCCCAAUUCACCAAUUGUAAGCCAUUGAGACCCAAAAGAACCCCUUUUAUCUCAGCUUCAUCCACUACAGUUUCAGCCCCAACAAGGGAAAAAGACCCCAAAAAGCGUGUUGUUAUAACUGGCAUCAAUCUGACUCCACCUCCACCUUCUAUUAUGAGUACUGCGGCCUUGGAAAGGUGUAAAAAGUGUAUUGAACUUAUUGCAAACACUCUACAAUUGGAAGGAUUUUAGCGUAAUGAUGCAUUUGUUCAUGCUGACACAGGCGAGGUACUGAUUAUCGAAGUGAAUGCAGUUCCACGAAUGAAUCCUUCCACCGUUUUCAUUCAUCAGGCACUUUCAGAGCAACCUCCCCUGUAUCCGCAACAGUUCUUCCACACGUUGCUUGAUCUGGCAUCAGAGAGAUCUAUGUGAAUAUAAUUAUAUCAGAAGAUUUCAGAAAUACAAACAAAAUUGAAUGAAGAUGAGAUGAACAAAUUUUCAGUCACAAUACUCUUUAUCAAUUAAGGCUAUGACACUUAUCAUGAAAAUGAUACAACCAAAAGGAUGAGUAGAAGAAUCGUCCCUGACAAUCAUAAUAACAGAAAUAUUGCUUGCAGUAAAAUAAAGUUGCUUAUAUGGCCCUUGAUACCAAGCAAGCUUGACACAAAUCACAAUAAAAAUGUGUUGUGUUAGAUAACUUCAAUCACCCUCUUUGUAAAGAACCUAGGUUCUUUUUUAAUCUUUUGAACAAGUUCGUGUUGCUCUUUUAGUUGUGUUGUGUUAUGUUAAAAUGUUGCACGGUAACAAAAGAUAAAAUUUUGUCAAUCCAAGUAUUGCCCUAUACAUACUACUUCUAACAAAAUAUUUUAAUACUGAUUUGAUGUUUUUUAUUUGUU